AUUGAACGCUGGCGGCAGGCCUAACACAUGCAAGUCGAAUGGUAACAGGAAACAGCUUGCUGCUUCGCUGACGAGUGGCGGACGGGUGAGUAAUGUCUGGGAAACUGCCUGAUGGAGGGGGAUAACUACUGGAAACGGUAGCUAAUACCGCAUAACGUCGCAAGACCAAAGAGGGGGACCUUCGGGCCUCUUGCCAUCAGAUGUGCCCAGAUGGGAUUAGCUAGUAGGUGGGGUAACGGCUCACCUAGGCGACGAUCCCUAGCUGGUCUGAGAGGAUGACCAGCCACACUGGAACUGAGACACGGUCCAGACUCCUACGGGAGGCAGCAGUGGGGAAUAUUGCACAAUGGGCGCAAGCCUGAUGCAGCCAUGCCGCGUGUAUGAAGAAGGCCUUCGGGUUGUAAAGUACUUUCAGCGGGGAGGAAGGGAGUAAAGUUAAUACCUUUGCUCAUUGACGUUACCCGCAGAAGAAGCACCGGCUAACUCCGUGCCAGCAGCCGCGGUAAUACGGAGGGUGCAAGCGUUAAUCGGAAUUACUGGGCGUAAAGCGCACGCAGGCGGUUUGUUAAGUCAGAUGUGAAAUCCCCGGGCUCAACCUGGGAACUGCAUCUGAUACUGGCAAGCUUGAGUCUCGUAGAGGGGGGUAGAAUUCCAGGUGUAGCGGUGAAAUGCGUAGAGAUCUGGAGGAAUACCGGUGGCGAAGGCGGCCCCCUGGACGAAGACUG
Molecule: ribosomal RNA, 725 nt
Filed under: uncultured Escherichia sp.
Lineage: Bacteria; Pseudomonadati; Pseudomonadota; Gammaproteobacteria; Enterobacterales; Enterobacteriaceae
Description: bacterial SSU rRNA
Rfam family: Bacterial small subunit ribosomal RNA
Source: RNAcentral